RNAcentral lists this non-coding RNA (29 nucleotides) under Rattus norvegicus (Norway rat). Lineage: Eukaryota; Metazoa; Chordata; Mammalia; Rodentia; Muridae. The record is from RNAcentral.
AGCAGCAAAUACACCCAGGAGGAGUAGAA